Drosophila miranda is the source of this 918-nucleotide long non-coding RNA. RefSeq lists it as uncharacterized. Lineage: Eukaryota; Metazoa; Arthropoda; Insecta; Diptera; Drosophilidae. The transcript is spliced from 3 exons. The record is from RefSeq and is a predicted model, not a curated record.
GUCGUUGAACUGUUUAAAUAAAUAUCAUCACAUUGGCCUUGAGUCAGUUCAAACUCUUGGAAAAAAUGGAAACAUGUUUGUUUUAUAUAUCUCGUCAGUCUGAAAUCAGGAGCAGUAGAGUGAACAUUGAAAUUUCUUGUUUAAUUUUUAGUGUUGUGUUUUUGGAUUCCAGUUAAAAAGUUCAUACUUUGGACUUUGUAGACUGUGCUGCGUCGGCUGUGGGUCCUGCGGACCCUGCGGCGGCCCCUGUUGCAGUCCUUGCUGUGGACCGCGUUGUGGAACAUCCUGCUGAGCGAUGGCCCAUGUUCGUCGAAUCUAAAAAGGUACUGCACCUUUCUGUUCUGCUGAUGAUGACAGCCAGUCAUUUUUGUCGGACCAGCGACGACUAGCGUUUCUCCUGCUUUUUGUGGAUCAAUCCUUGGCGAUGGCAGCCCUUCUUGAUGGCAGUUUUGUGCUUUCUCUUGUUUGCUCUUACGUUAUUUGCAUCAUCUUCAGGUGAUUUUUUAUUAAUAAAAAAAAAAUCACCACAAGAUGUUGGAUAUUCCGUUACAGCAAGCAAAAGCAGGCCCAAUACUUCCAUCAAAGAGGAAUGCCACCGCCAAAGAUAGAUAAAAAGGAAGCAGGAGAGGAGCUACUGCAGGAGGCGCGACGCGAGUCCUCCGAGGCCGAGGAGACGGCGGCCGUGGUGGCUCCACGACCAGAUUGAGCCUACAGUAAGGGCGUUGCGAUCUGCACGCUUUCGAGUGGAGACUUUCGAGGCUUUGCUACGAGCCUUCUCCGACGCUUUUAUAUGACAAUAUUUCUAGUCUGACAGAAUACUCAAAACCAACAAGAGCUUCACAAAAUGUAAUCUUUAAAUGUACAUUUAAGAAGAAAGGGUAUAGAAAUCCAAUUAAAGCAGCUGUUUAAAAUAAGCCA